AUGGCCUCCAGUGUGCAGCACCCAUGGCUUCUCCUCUUGCUCGUCCUCCUCUCGGCCGUGGCCCCGGCGACGGCAAGGACGCCGGUGUUCGACGACAACUACGUGCCCACAUGGGGUGCAGACGGCUAUCACCUUAGGUCCGGCGCCGGGUUCUGCUCCAAGUCGACGUAUGGCUCGGGGUUCUUCCGCAUGAGGAUGAAGGUACCCGGAGGGUACACGCCCGGAGUCGUCACAGCUUUCUUUCUAAUGUCAGUACCACCUCAGAGCAGUGACCGCGACGAGGUGGACUUCGAGUUCCUGGGCAACGUGGACGGCCAGCCCAUCACCCUCCAGACCAACGUCUUCGUCAACGGCCACGGCAACAGGGAGCAGAGGCUGAAGCUGUGGAUAUUCGUGGACGAUGUGCCGAUACGGGUGCUGAGGAACCUCACGGGCCGUGUGCCGGAGUACGAGUUCCCGGCGAAGCGGAUGGGCAUCUGGGCGAGCCUGUGGAACGGCUCCGACUGGGCGACGGACCGCGGCAGGAUCAAGAUCGACUGGAACCGCGCGCCCUUCACCGCGGGGUACCAGGGCUUCAACGUCGACGCCUGCGCCAACACCAGCUCGACGCCGUGCCACUCGACGGACUGGUGGUGGAACGCCCGCCGGUACAGGAGGCUGUCCGCCCGGCAGCGGGCGGCCUACGAGAACGUCAAGAAGACGUACAUGUACUACGACUACUGCGCUGACAAAGAUCGGUUCAAGAACACCACGAUGCCGGUUGAGUGCAGCCACACUACUACUUAG
RNAcentral lists this ribosomal RNA (786 nucleotides) under Triticum aestivum (bread wheat). Its description in RNAcentral is "partial small subunit ribosomal RNA". Lineage: Eukaryota; Viridiplantae; Streptophyta; Magnoliopsida; Poales; Poaceae. The record is from RNAcentral.